GUCCUUUUGAUUUUUAUAUAAGGUCUGACCUGCCCUAUGAAUAUUUAAAUGGCCGCGGUAUACUAACCGUGCAAAGGUAGCAUAGUCAUUUGUCUCUUAAUUGGAGGCUUGAAUGAAGGGUUGGACGAGAUAUAAGCUUUCUUUGUUAUAUUUUAUUGAAUUUGACUUUUGAGUUAAAAGGCUUAAAUUUUUUUAUAGGACGAGAAGACCCUAUAGAAUUUUAUAUAUUUGUAUAAUCGAUUUAUUUAUUUAUUAUUUAAUUUUUUGUUUAAAUGUAUUUUGUUGGGGCGAUAGGAAGAUUUUAAUAACUCUUUUUUGUUCUAAUCAUUGAUUUAUGUUUUAUUCUGAUCCUUUUUUAGAGAUUAUAAGAUUAAAUUACCUUAGGGAUAACAGCGUAAUUCUUUUGGAGAGUUCUUAUCGAUAAAAGAGUUUGCGA
RNAcentral lists this ribosomal RNA (436 nucleotides) under Appasus japonicus. RNAcentral's name for it is "partial 16S rRNA". It matches the Rfam family "Archaeal large subunit ribosomal RNA", at positions 1921 to 2592 of the family's 2987-position model. Lineage: Eukaryota; Metazoa; Arthropoda; Insecta; Hemiptera; Belostomatidae. The record is from RNAcentral.